UACAGAGGGGCAAGCGUUAUUCGGAAUUAUUGGGCGUAAAGGGCGCGUAGGCGGCUUUGCAAGUGGCGGGUGAAAUCCCGGGGCUCAACCUCGGAACUGCCCUUGAAACUGCAGUGCUAGAAUCUUGGAGAGGCGAGUGGAAUUCCGAGUGUAGAGGUGAAAUUCGUAGAUAUUCGGAAGAACACCAGUGGCGAAGGCGACUCGCUGGACAGUUACUGACACUGAGGCACGAAGGCCAGGGGAGCAAACGGG
RNAcentral lists this ribosomal RNA (252 nucleotides) under uncultured bacterium. RNAcentral describes it as "partial 16S ribosomal RNA". It matches the Rfam family "Bacterial small subunit ribosomal RNA", at positions 524 to 776 of the family's 1533-position model. The record is from RNAcentral.